Molecule: ribosomal RNA, 357 nt
Filed under: uncultured soil bacterium
Lineage: Bacteria
Description: bacterial SSU rRNA
Rfam family: Bacterial small subunit ribosomal RNA
Source: RNAcentral
AGAACGAACGCUGGCGGCAUGCCUAACACAUGCAAGUCGAACGAGACCGCUGACUUCGGUUGGCGCGUCUAGUGGCGCACGGGUGCGUAACGCGUGGGAAUCUGCCCUUGGGUUCGGGAUAACAGUUGGAAACGACUGCUAAUACCGGAUGAUGACUUCGGUCCAAAGAUUUAUCGCCCAGGGAUGAGCCCGCGUCGGAUUAGCUAGUUUGGUGGGGUAAAAGCCUACCAAGGCGACGAUCCGUAGCUGGUCUGAGAGGAUGAUCAGCCACACGUGGGACUGAGACACGGCCCAGACUCCGUACGGGAGGCAGCAGUGGGAUAGUAGGACAAGUGGGACGAAAGCCUAGAUCAGCAA